RNAcentral lists this ribosomal RNA (497 nucleotides) under uncultured bacterium. RNAcentral describes it as "partial 16S ribosomal RNA". It matches the Rfam family "Bacterial small subunit ribosomal RNA", at positions 28 to 507 of the family's 1533-position model. The record is from RNAcentral.
GAUGAACGCUGGCGGCGUGCCUAAUACAUGCAAGUCGAGCGAACAGAUGGGGAGCUUUCUCCUCUGACGUUAUCGGCGGUCGGGUGAGGACCAUGUGGUUAACCUAACUAUCAGACUGGGAUACCUUCGGGAAACCGUAUCUAAUACCGGAUAAUAUAUUGAACCUCAUGGUUCAAUAGUUAAAUUCGGUUUUGCUUUCACUUAUAGCUUACUACGCCCCGCAUUCGUUAGUUGUUAAGGUAACGGCUUACCAAGGCAACGAUGCGUAACCGACCUGAGAGGGUGAUCGGCCACACUGUAACUGAGACACAGUCCAGACUCCUACGGUAGGCAGCAGUAGGGAAUCUUCCGCGAUGGGCGAAAGCCUGACGGAGCAACGCCGCGUGAAUGAUGAAGGUCUUCGGAUCGUAAAGCUCUGUUAGUAGGGAAGAACAAAUGUGUAAGUAACUAUGCACGUCUUGACGGUACCUAAUCAGAAAGCCACGGCUAACUCCGUG